GGCCUGGUAGCCAAGUGGUAAGGCAGAGAUCUGCAAAAUCUCUAUGCGGCGGUUCAAUUCCGCCCCAGGCCUCAA
RNAcentral lists this transfer RNA (75 nucleotides) under Candidatus Nomurabacteria bacterium CG1_02_31_12. RNAcentral describes it as "tRNA-Cys". It matches the Rfam family "tRNA". Rfam says of the family: Transfer RNA (tRNA) molecules are approximately 80 nucleotides in length. Their secondary structure includes four short double-helical elements and three loops (D, anti-codon, and T loops). Further hydrogen bonds mediate the characteristic L-shaped molecular structure. tRNAs have two regions of fundamental functional importance: the anti-codon, which is responsible for specific mRNA codon recognition, and the 3' end, to which the tRNAs corresponding amino acid is attached (by aminoacyl-tRNA synthetases). tRNAs cope with the degeneracy of the genetic code in two manners: having more than one tRNA (with a specific anti-codon) for a particular amino acid; and 'wobble' base-pairing, i.e. permitting non-standard base-pairing at the 3rd anti-codon position. The record is from RNAcentral. RNAcentral also lists the same sequence under 3 other names. Lineage: Bacteria; Candidatus Nomuraibacteriota.